GAAAAUAAGAUCAGAUUACAAUUUAUUUUUCUUUUUUAAACCAUAUUCACUAGAGUUUGCCACUCUGAGAUAUUCAGAAGAACCUGAAGAUGAGUUCCAUUGGAAUUAAGAUCAGCGAAGUUUUCGCGGUGGCUGUAUUCGUGAUCUUGAUAAUGACGUUCUUGCAGGUGCAAUCGGGCUUUGGGCAGAGCAUUGCCAUUUCUCCGGUGCCGGAGGGCUUCAUAUCCGGCAAUGGCAAGACAACUGAUCAAGGAAUUGCUUACACUCUCCUGCUAAUGGCACUGAUAUUUGCUUACGUCUUCCAUUGACCAUAUUUACACCACACAGUUCACUGUAAUGAAUAAAAAUGGUAUUAAAAAAAGAAGAAGCAAUUACAAGGAAAAGAUGCCUCUGUCAUAUAUGUCCUCCGAACUUGUAUUUUAGCCUCCUAUACAAAUAGUAAACUUAAGAAUAGGUCUGGCUAUUUGUGUCCCGUCGUGUCUAUGUGGGUUGAGUCUAAACGAGUUCGUGUAAAAAAUGUCUAAAUCCGAACACGACGCGUUUAGUAAACUUUGUCAAAAACUAAAAACCUGGAUACAACCCCUUUAUUCCGAAU
Punica granatum (pomegranate) is the source of this 595-nucleotide non-coding RNA. NCBI's taxonomy places the organism in Eukaryota, Viridiplantae, Streptophyta, Magnoliopsida, Myrtales, Lythraceae. The record is from RefSeq and is a predicted model, not a curated record.